Molecule: ribosomal RNA, 738 nt
Filed under: uncultured archaeon
Lineage: Archaea
Description: bacterial SSU rRNA
Rfam family: Archaeal small subunit ribosomal RNA
Source: RNAcentral
ACUGGGAUAACCCUGGGAAACUGGGGAUAAUACUAGAUAGGCAAUUUUUCCUGGAAUGGUUUUUUGUUUAAAUGUUUUUUCGCCUAAGGAUGGGUCUGCGGCCGAUUAGGUAGUUGGUUAGGUAACGGCUUACCAAGCCAUUGAUCGGUACGGGUUGUGAGAGCAAGAGCCCGGAGAUGGAACCUGAGACAAGGUUCCAGGCCCUACGGGGUGCAGCAGGCGCGAAACCUCCGCAAUGUGAGAAAUCGCGACGGGGGAUCCCAAGUGCCAUUCUUAACGGGAUGGCUUUUCAUUAGUGUAAAGAGCUUUUGGAAUAAGGGCUGGGCAAGACCGGUGCCAGCCGCCGCGGUAACACCGGCAGCUCUAGUGGUAGCAGUUUUUAUUGGGCCUAAAGCGUCCGUAGCCGGUUUAAUAAGUCUCUGGUGAAAUCCUGUAGCUUAACUGUGGGAAUUGCUGGAGAUACUAUUAGACUUGAGACCGGGAGAGGUUAGAGGUACUCCCAGGGUAGAGGUGAAAUUCUGUAAUCCUGGGAGGACCGCCUGUUGCGAAGGCGUCUAACUGGAACGGUUCUGACGGUGAGGGACGAAAGUUAGGGGCGCGAACCGGAUUAGAUACCCGGGUAGUCCUAACUGUAAACGAUGCGGACUUGGUGUUGGGGUGGCUUUGAGCUGCUCCAGUGCCGAAGGGAAGCUGUUAAGUCCGCCGCCUGGGAAGUACGGUCGCAAGACUGAAACUUAA